UAAUCUAUCUAGGACAAAUCCUCAUCUAACUAUGACAGACCCAUACAUAACUACUCAAAUCACUUGUUAUUACAGGUCCGAUAACAUCAUUUAGUUUUUAAGAGAGUUUUUAGUGGGGUUUAUAUAAAACUAUGAU
Molecule: non-coding RNA, 136 nt
Organism: Populus trichocarpa (black cottonwood)
Lineage: Eukaryota; Viridiplantae; Streptophyta; Magnoliopsida; Malpighiales; Salicaceae
Source: Rfam